This 543-nucleotide ribosomal RNA is filed under the name uncultured Chaetomium. Its description in RNAcentral is "SSU rRNA". It matches the Rfam family "Eukaryotic small subunit ribosomal RNA", at positions 549 to 1098 of the family's 1831-position model. The record is from RNAcentral. Lineage: Eukaryota; Fungi; Ascomycota; Sordariomycetes; Sordariales; Chaetomiaceae.
UGGAGGGCAAGUCUGGUGCCAGCAGCCGCGGUAAUUCCAGCUCCAAUAGCGUAUAUUAAAGUUGUUGAGGUUAAAAAGCUCGUAGUCGAACCUUGGGCCUAGCCGGCCGGUCCGCCUCACCGCGUGCACUGGCUCGGCUGGGUCUUUCCUUCUGGAGAACCGCAUGCCCUUCACUGGGUGUGCCGGGGAACCAGGACUUUUACUCUGAACAAAUUAGAUCGCUUAAAGAAGGCCUAUGCUCGAAUACAUUAGCAUGGAAUAAUAGAAUAGGACGUGUGGUUCUAUUUUGUUGGUUUCUAGGACCGCCGUAAUGAUUAAUAGGGACAGUCGGGGGCAUCAGUAUUCAAUUGUCAGAGGUGAAAUUCUUGGAUUUAUUGAAGACUAACUACUGCGAAAGCAUUUGCCAAGGAUGUUUUCAUUAAUCAGGAACGAAAGUUAGGGGAUCGAAGACGAUCAGAUACCGUCGUAGUCUUAACCAUAAACUAUGCCGAUUAGGGAUCGGACGGCGUUAUUUUUUGACCCGUUCGGCGCCUUACGGGAAAC